Molecule: signal recognition particle RNA, 91 nt
Filed under: Stenotrophomonas maltophilia
Lineage: Bacteria; Pseudomonadati; Pseudomonadota; Gammaproteobacteria; Lysobacterales; Lysobacteraceae
Also listed under: 2 other names
Description: signal recognition particle sRNA small type
Rfam family: Bacterial small signal recognition particle RNA
About the family: The signal recognition particle (SRP) is a universally conserved ribonucleoprotein involved in the co-translational targeting of proteins to membranes. Archaeal SRP consists of a 7S RNA and homologues of the eukaryotic SRP19 and SRP54 proteins.
Source: RNAcentral
CCGUCGGCCCCUCGCGACGCUAGAUCGAAAACCCCGCCAGGGCCGGAAGGCAGCAACGGUAUCGAUCGACGCGGGCGCCGAGGCCAGCCGG